GCCUCCUUGUAGCGCAAUGGAUAGCGCGUUGAACUUCUAAUUCAAAGAUUAUGGGUUCGAAUCCCGCCUGAGAUG
Molecule: transfer RNA, 75 nt
Filed under: Trichonephila clavata
Lineage: Eukaryota; Metazoa; Arthropoda; Arachnida; Araneae; Nephilidae
Description: tRNA-Arg
Rfam family: tRNA
About the family: Transfer RNA (tRNA) molecules are approximately 80 nucleotides in length.
Source: RNAcentral